RNAcentral lists this non-coding RNA (131 nucleotides) under Streptomyces scabiei 87.22. Its description in RNAcentral is "Streptomyces RNA 6925". It matches the Rfam family "Streptomyces RNA 6925". Rfam says of the family: Identified by deep sequencing of transcriptome at the end of exponential growth phase. Sequencing size consistent with northern blot size. Streptomyces specific. The record is from Rfam by way of RNAcentral. Lineage: Bacteria; Bacillati; Actinomycetota; Actinomycetes; Kitasatosporales; Streptomycetaceae.
UCGGUGUUGCCACGCUGAGACGCCCCGUGGAAGGGAUCAGCGUGGUGAUGGUGGCGAUACCCGCCCUUGCCGGGGCGGUACAUGCCGUGAAGCGUUCGGCGUCCGGGAGUUGCACCUCUCGGGCGCCGUCG